GCUUACGGCCACACCACCCUGAGCACGCCCGAUCUCGUCCGAUCUCGGAAGCUAAGCAGGGUCGGGCCUGGUUAGUACUUGGAUGGGAGACACCUGGGAAGGAUAGCUCAGAGGUGCUGUAAGCU
Molecule: ribosomal RNA, 125 nt
Filed under: Myripristis murdjan (pinecone soldierfish)
Lineage: Eukaryota; Metazoa; Chordata; Actinopteri; Holocentriformes; Holocentridae
Source: RNAcentral